Long non-coding RNA from Mauremys reevesii (Reeves's turtle), 1137 nucleotides. RefSeq lists it as uncharacterized. The transcript has 2 exons. The record is from RefSeq and is a predicted model, not a curated record. NCBI's taxonomy places the organism in Eukaryota, Metazoa, Chordata, Testudines, Geoemydidae.
ACUUAAAACAACUCUCCUCCUAACAAAGGACAAAGACCAUCUCCAAGCUGCUGCUGACCCGCCUACAUGACAUAGCUGGAGUAGAUGGUACAGCACUGCAACAUCUGAAGUCUUCCCUCUCACCCCAGACUCAGUGGUGAUGGCAACUGCUCCUGAUCCCCAAGGGCUCUCACCUGCAUGGUCUCCAAAAGAUCCACCCUACUCUCCUGGCCCCCUACAACAUCUGCAUUGAUACAGCCAACACAGUCAUGAAUAUGUCACAAUGCCUACAUCUGGAUUAAGGGUAUCUGACUCAAUCUGAACCCAGGCAAGACUGAAGUGAUCAGAAGAGGAAAAUACUUGAAGAAAUUUGCUGGGACAUCUCCCUCCUCUCCCACAAAGGGCACAUCUCCCACCCUGUCCAUCAGACUGGUAUGGAGAGGUAGUUUGGCUGGGAUACUACCUGGUCAUUUAGGGGAUGGUGGGUAUCAGUGGCUGGGACUCCCCUACCCUUCAAGUGGUUUGUGGCAGCAACCCCCCACCCACCCACCCAAACACACCACCAGCUUCUUCCACCUUCAGCUGCUACAAUCCUCUACCCCUUCUUCCUUGAAGAUCUAGCCCCAAUAAUCCAUGCGUUUAUCACCUUCAGACUUGAUUACUAUAAUUCACUGUACUUGUGACUAAACAUUCGAGCAACAGAGAAACCAGCUUAUGCAAAAUACAACUGCCAGCUACUGUGAGCUUACUACUUUGUUCUUUAUUGGCUCCCACUUGACAGCAUGGUCAAGAUAGUUGGGCAUGAGUGGGACUCCACUAUGUCCCACUGAUUCCAGGCUGCUAUAACUGUCUCUUGGGGCUAUUGGUAGUUUGUGUAAUUUAGAACAACCUUCAGGAGAACCAGAGCAGGAUCAGGGGAGCAUGGAGUUCACCUUUGUAUCUUCCUUUUGAGCUUUGCCCAAUGCUCCUCAGGUGCAGCCAAAGGGCUGGACACCUGUAUCAUUAACACUAAUCCUACCUGCCCCAACAAGUUCUUUCUAGUUGCUCAAAAUCGUGUCCCCCAGAUGACUGGUACAUACUGUCUUUGCACUUUCAUCCUCUUCUUCUGCCCAUUCUGUUUGAGUUCCACUCUCCAGAUAAUCAGCCACUUCCUUCUCC